Long non-coding RNA from Arvicola amphibius (Eurasian water vole), 734 nucleotides. RefSeq lists it as uncharacterized. The transcript has 2 exons. NCBI's taxonomy places the organism in Eukaryota, Metazoa, Chordata, Mammalia, Rodentia, Cricetidae. The record is from RefSeq and is a predicted model, not a curated record.
CAGUUAACUGCUCCUUGGGGAUUCUUGCUUUUACCAGUUCAUACAGCACAUGGGCAAAUUUGAACUCCUAAAGGGUGUGUUAACUGAGCCCCAGUGCGGAAGCAGAUCAACGUGUCUUCUCGUUCAUGCCCCAGCCCUCAGGAUCUCUAACAUGAUAUGGGAAGGGAGAAGAGCUGUGAAGGUGUGGAGAUUGCUCGAGAUCAUCCCAUGAGGAUCCUUACAAGUAAAAGGGGAACGCAAGAGAAUUAGGAUCACCAUGUUUUAAUAUGACUGGUCACUGAGAUUUUGGAGAUGGGAGCUCACAGACCAAGAAAUAUGGAGGGUCUGGAGUUAGAAACUGGAAGUCAUCCUUAGCUAUUAGACCCUUUCCGGAUACCCUGGCUGUCUUGAGAGUAAGCCUGUCAGUCCAGCCUUCGGAAGGAUCACCUUCGUGUCAGCACCAGCCAUUUUAACAACCAUGGAUGCCUCGAGGAAGCUAUCCGACAACCAUAGCUGCUUGCUGCUCAAGCACAAAUCCAUCACCUCAAGGGGCCUGAGAUGAUAACGUGGAGAAGGAGGAAGAGGAAGGUAUCAGUGCAGCAUCAGAGGCAGUGCCAGCUGCAUCUCUGUAUGGUGACAGGUGGCAGUGAUGGCAGGAAGCCACGCAGUAGCUCUAGAUGCUAGAGCAGUGGUUCUCAGCCUUCCUAAUGCUGGGACCCUUUAAUACAGUUUCUCAUGUUGUGCUGACCCCCCAA